Molecule: unclassified non-coding RNA, 383 nt
Filed under: Hevea brasiliensis (rubber tree)
Lineage: Eukaryota; Viridiplantae; Streptophyta; Magnoliopsida; Malpighiales; Euphorbiaceae
Source: RNAcentral
GUGUGUUGAUUAUUGGUGAAGAUGAAGAGAAGCCGCGAAAUGAGUUGGGAUUCACAAGUAUCGACCCGCCUCCUGUAGAAGAAUCUUCUGAUGCUCAUUUUUCUAAUAUGGAGUUACCUUUUUACUUAGUUGGUGGUAUUUAUUUCCCCAAAACUAUGAAGCAACAAGGGUGGAUUGCUAGUACUUCUAUUACUAUUCUCAUUGACAGUUUCUUCUCAGUUACAAGUUGAACUAACUCCUUUUGGAAUAUGUUUGGGUGAUGGUCAUAGGGUGGAAUCAAAAGGUGUUUGUCGAAUUGUGAAAACCGAUUUGGGCAAAUUGGAAGUGCAAGCCAAUUGUUAUUUAUUUCCUCUAGGUGGUGUUGAUAUCAUUCUCAGCAUGGC